UGAGGAAGUAAAAGUCGUAACAAGGUUUCCGUAGGUGAACCUGCGGAAGGAUCAUUAGUGAUUUGAACGGUCGCCUCCUGUGCUGGCCCGCUGGGCACUGUGCACGCUGGUCGGCUUUCAUCCCAACACACCCUUGUGAACCAUUUGACCUUGCGCUGGCCUCGGCCGGCACGAGGGAUUUACAUACACUCGCAUGUAAUGAAAUCUAUACUGUGCGCAAGCACUAAUGUACAACUUUCAACAACGGAUCUCUUGGCUCUCGCAUCGAUGAAGAACGCAGCGAAAUGCGAUAAGUAAUGUGAAUUGCAGAAUUCAGUGAAUCAUCGAAUCUUUGAACGCACCUUGCACCCUUUGGUAUUCCGAAGGGUAUGCUCGUUUGAGUGUCAUUGUACUCUCACACUCUUCCUGUUUUGCGACGGGGGGAGCGGUGGACUUGGACGCGUGCUGCUUUACCGCGGCUCGUCUGAAAUGCAUUAGUGCACCGGUGGGUUGGGCAUAGUACGGCGUGAUAAGUAUCUUCGCCGGCACCUCGCAAGAGGGUGUUCGAUCGGCCGCUCUGUGCUGCAAACCGUCUCGCGCAGAGACAACCCUUUUUGACAACUUGACCUCAAAUCGAGUAGGACUACCCGCUGAACUUAAGCAUAUCAAUAA
This 651-nucleotide small RNA is filed under the name uncultured Sebacina. RNAcentral's name for it is "eukaryotic LSU rRNA". The stretch from base 233 to 386 matches the Rfam family "5.8S ribosomal RNA". The record is from RNAcentral. Lineage: Eukaryota; Fungi; Basidiomycota; Agaricomycetes; Sebacinales; Sebacinaceae.